RNAcentral lists this ribosomal RNA (116 nucleotides) under Eysarcoris ventralis. Its description in RNAcentral is "partial 16S ribosomal RNA". Lineage: Eukaryota; Metazoa; Arthropoda; Insecta; Hemiptera; Pentatomidae. The record is from RNAcentral.
AAAAUUUUAAAGGUCGAACAGACCUAAAAAUUAAGCUUCUGCACUUAAAUUUAAUUUUAAUCCAACAUCGAGGUCGCAAACUCUUCUAUUGAUAUGAACUCUCCAGAAAAAUUACG